Long non-coding RNA from Eupeodes corollae, 716 nucleotides. RefSeq lists it as uncharacterized. Lineage: Eukaryota; Metazoa; Arthropoda; Insecta; Diptera; Syrphidae. The record is from RefSeq and is a predicted model, not a curated record. The transcript is spliced from 3 exons.
AAACAAUAUCCGUGCAUUCCGUGAUUCCGUCUUUAAUUCAUAAAAAUAAAUAUACUUGAAAAUAAGUAAAUAAAACAAAUAAAAAUUGUUUUUUGUGAUUCUGCCGUAGCCUUUAUUUGCUCUCAUCAAAAGAAUUGUUUUUAUAUUUUACUUUAGCAACAUGUUUAGCAUAGCCCUGAGGGAAAUGAUUAAUGAUGAGGAAGAAAAACAAAAACAAAAAUCAAUCAGAAGACAACUCAGAGAUUCUUCAAACCCUUUGGAGUUGCGUGAGCCAUUAUUUCAUCAACACUAUCGAGUAAAUAAAGAAGCCUUCAAAUAUUUGUUGGAUGUUCUUUCCAGUUCCUUGCCCGCAGUAAAACAAAAAUUUGGUGUGCCCCCAAUUAUAAAACUUGCAGCCACCUUACGUUUCCUUGCGGAGGGCGGGUACCAAAAGGGAGUUGGGAAGGACCAUGAAGUUGGGUUGGCACAACCAUCUGUAAGCCUUAUUAUGGCUGAAGUGUUGAACGUGUUGGAGGAGAGACUUUGUCCAGAAUGGAUAAAGUGGCCAACACAAAACGAAUGUAGAAGAAUCAGCCAAGAUUUCUUCAUGAAAUUCAAUAUGCCAAGCAUAAUAGGAUGUGUAGAUGGAACACAUGUCAACAUUAUAUCGCCAUCACACAACAAACACCUUUUUUGUUGUUUUACUCCUUGAAAAUAAAAAAGUUGGAGUUAUUUUC